This is a long non-coding RNA of Mercurialis annua (annual mercury), 2110 nucleotides long. RefSeq lists it as uncharacterized. The record is from RefSeq and is a predicted model, not a curated record. The transcript has 6 exons. Lineage: Eukaryota; Viridiplantae; Streptophyta; Magnoliopsida; Malpighiales; Euphorbiaceae.
AAAUUGUAAACCGGGGGUUCGGACAGUAUUUCCUCCUUUGAUUGCUUGCCACCUGAAAUUUAAAUUGCGAAAAAGAAUGCAGAUGAGUCAAAAGAGAUUUUCAACUAUAAUCACCUUCCAUCUCCAUGGAUUGAAGGCAAGUGGAUCUUCAUAUUUGGCUUGGUUUAAGUGUACAGCAGGAGGACAGACUAUAACUGCCCAAUUAGCUGGGAUGGUAUGCUACUCGGCGCAUAGAGCACCGUCCCACCGGCCCAUUGAGCCACGAACUGAGCCUCAAUGCAACAACUAAUGUAGGUAGGUUACUGUGAGUAUUAUUAUGACCCUCCAUUAUUAAAAUUUGAUCACUGUGUAUCAUCAAUAAUGGUGGAUGAGGCUUCACUGGCAAUAAUAACCCAAAACAAUGAAGUUUGAACAACCCUUUAAGAACUAAGAUUCUUUUCACAUUUCUGUGUGCAUACUUAGUACCUACUGGGAUUAUAAAGCUGUAAAGCUGAUGCCAUCUGAGAAUAUAGGCUGUAAUGCAGCGCGUUAGUGUCCAUUUUUGUUUCAAGUUUGUCACAAAUACUAAUAGCUGUCGAGCUAUGUUGCACGGAAAUGGAAACACACCGAGAUGAGAAAAAUUGACAUGAAAAAUGGUGAAACCAUAUCUUUUACGAGAAUAUAUAUCUUAUAAUAAAAAAUUUGAGUUUCUUCUUAAAAUCAAAACGAAACGCCAAAACGUAGGAUUGGACAAGUUUUCAUGCAACAUAGCUGUCUAGUAAAUUCAUAAAAGAAUAUGAGAAGAUGACAGUGAACUUGGACCCCAUUUUUGUAAUUCUCGUCUUUUUUAAGCUUAGGAUCUGUUAAGUUAUAAUUUUUUAAGAGAAUAAGUGAUUGUCGCAUUAUUUAACUGUUAGGCAUGGAUGGUCUUGGAAAAGGUCUCCUUGAUGGGGUGCAUAAGGCUGGCAGCUAAGUAAAUAUCUGGUUUUGGAAUUAUAAACUAAACUAUCAAAACAAUGAUACAAAAGUGUAUAGCUAGGAUAGGAAGUGAGUAUUAUGUUUUCUAGUGACUGGAAUUGCAUUUUUCUAAUAAAUAAGAGAAAUUCCUUUUCAUCAACUGCUAGAAGGUGUAAGGUUUAACAGGGUCCUACAUGUCUUGACUGACCAAAUUUACAAAUCUGAUGAUGGGAGAUAGAUCCCUUUUAUUAGACUAAUCGAACCGGAUUGAAAUUUAAUUUUUACUAAUAUCGAACCAAAUCAAAAUUGUAAGGAAUUAACAAAAUUCAAAUCGAACCGAACUAGUCGGUUCGUUCAGUUAUUUCGGUUUAUUUUUUACUAAUUUUUUUUUGUCCUAAAUAAACUGAACCAAAAGAUGAAAUCUUUUUAUAAAUUCAAACCAAAUUGAACCAAUUUUAUUGGUUUGGUUAUUAUUCCUAGUUCAACUAAUGUAGAUAAGAAUAAGAUGUGAUUUAACUCCUUUCUCUACUCUAUCCGACGGUUCAAGAAUUUAGAUGAAUAUAAGAGGCAAGUGAUCACUGGCAACAAAAGAUUUUUCUUCUAGAAUUCAGUGUUGGGAUACCCAAUGAAGAGAGGAUUAAGGAGAAAGUUGUUCUUCCUGUCUGUUACGUGCGCCUAGGGAAUGCUUCAUUUUAAUUACUCCACAACAGGUGGUCAUACUCAAACUCUAAAAAAUUCAUGAUAAUUGAAUCUGGUCUGGCAAGACAAGCUCAUACUGGGCAAUGAACAGCAUAAUAUGAUUCAGCAACACAAUCCUUGAGCAUUAUCUAGCGAUCUACUAAAAACCCAAUUGAUGCUGAUAUCACAAUUAAGGUUCAAGUUGACUUCCUAAUGUUUUAGUUCGCAGACACACUUGAAGGCCCUAAUUGGAUGAUAAUCAAGAACAGAGAGGGUAUCAAAUCAAUAUCAUCACUUUCUCAUGCCAGCCUGAUAAUUAUUUUUAAGACUAGCGGGCAUGGGUCCCUCUUCAUGAUCCCAAAUUGCUAGCUUGUCUCCGAAUAAACAAUAAGGACCAAAGCUGUAAUGACAUGAGCUACAAACUACGACUCUCUCCUAUAAUUGUUUAAAAAGUUCUCAUCGAUAAUAGUUUACACAAAACUAUAUUAACAUAAAA